Molecule: ribosomal RNA, 253 nt
Filed under: uncultured bacterium
Lineage: Bacteria
Description: partial 16S ribosomal RNA
Rfam family: Bacterial small subunit ribosomal RNA
Source: RNAcentral
UACGUAGGCAGCGAGCGUUGUUCGGAGUUACUGGGCGUAAAGGGCGCGUAGGCGGCUCUGCACGUCCGUUGUGAAAUCGCCCGGCUCAACUGGGCGGGGUCAGCGGAUACGGCGGAGCUUGAGCAAGCUAGGGGGCAAUGGAAUUCCCGGUGUAGUGGUGGAAUGCGUAGAUAUCGGGAGGAACACCAGUGGCGAAGGCGGUUGCCUGGGGCUUUGCUGACGCUGAUGCGCGAAAGCGUGGGGAGCGAUCCGG